GACGAACGCGGGCGGCGUGCCUAAUACAUGCAAGUCGAAAGCCAAGAAGUGAAGAGCUUGCUCUUAUACCAAAUGAGUGGCGGACGGGUGAGUAACACGUGGGUAACCUGCCCAUUAGAGGGGGAUAAACAUUCGGAAACGGGAUGCUAAUACCGCAUAGUUUCAGGGAUCGCAUGAUUCUUGAAGGAAAGGUGGCUCCGGCUACCACUAAUGGAUGGACCCGCGGCGUAUUAGCUAGUUGGUGAGGUAAUGGCUCACCAAGGCAAUGAUACGUAGCCGACCUGAGAGGGUGAUCGGCCACACUGGGACUGAGACACGGCCCAGACUCCUACGGGAGGCAGCAGUAGGGAAUCUUCCGCAAUGGACGAAAGUCUGACGGAGCAACGCCGCGUGAGUGAAGAAGGUUUUCGGAUCGUAAAACUCUGUUGUUAAAGAAGAACAAGGAUGAGAGUAACUGCUCAUCCCCUGACGGUAUUUAACCAGAAAGCCACGGCUAACUACGUGCCAGCAGCCGCGGUAAUACGUAGGUGGCAAGCGUUGUCCGGAUUUAUUGGGCGUAAAGCGAGCGCAGGCGGUUCUUUAAGUCUGAUGUGAAAGCCCCCGGCUCAACCGGGGAGGGUCAUUGGAAACUGGAGAACUUGAGUGCAGAAGAGGAGAGUGGAAUUCCACGUGUAGCGGUGAAAUGCGUAGAUAUGUGGAGGAACACCAGUGGCGAAGGCGACUCUCUGGUCUGUAACUGACGCUGAGGCUCGAAAGCGUGGGGAGCAAACAGG
This 773-nucleotide ribosomal RNA is filed under the name uncultured Vagococcus sp. Its description in RNAcentral is "bacterial SSU rRNA". It matches the Rfam family "Bacterial small subunit ribosomal RNA", at positions 28 to 776 of the family's 1533-position model. Lineage: Bacteria; Bacillati; Bacillota; Bacilli; Lactobacillales; Enterococcaceae. The record is from RNAcentral.